CCUACGGGAGGCAGCAGUGAGGAAUAUUGGACAAUGGGCGCAAGCCUGAUCCAGCCAUGCCGCGUGCAGGAUGACGGUCCUAUGGAUUGUAAACUGCUUUUGUACAGGAAGAAACCCUUUUACGAGUAGAAGCUUGACGGUACUGUAAGAAUAAGGAUCGGCUAACUCCGUGCCAGCAGCCGCGGUAAUACGGAGGAUCCAAGCGUUAUCCGGAAUCAUUGGGUUUAAAGGGUCCGUAGGCGGUUUGAUAAGUCAGUGGUGAAAGCCCAUCGCUCAACGAUGGAACGGCCAUUGAUACUGUUAGACUUGAAUUAUUAGGAAGUAACUAGAAUAUGUAGUGUAGCGGUGAAAUGCUUAGAGAUUACAUGGAAUACCAAUUGCGAAGGCAGGUUACUACUAAUGGAUUGACGCUGAUGGACGAAAGCGUGGGUAGCGAACAG
Molecule: ribosomal RNA, 440 nt
Filed under: Flavobacterium branchiophilum
Lineage: Bacteria; Pseudomonadati; Bacteroidota; Flavobacteriia; Flavobacteriales; Flavobacteriaceae
Description: bacterial SSU rRNA
Rfam family: Bacterial small subunit ribosomal RNA
Source: RNAcentral